RNAcentral lists this ribosomal RNA (308 nucleotides) under uncultured bacterium. RNAcentral describes it as "partial 16S ribosomal RNA". It matches the Rfam family "Bacterial small subunit ribosomal RNA", at positions 505 to 809 of the family's 1533-position model. The record is from RNAcentral.
GAGACAGCAGUCGCCACGGGAAUACGUAGGUGGCAAGCGUUGUCCGGAAUUAUUGGGCGUAAAGCGCGCGCAGGCGGAUCGGUCAGUCUGUCUUAAAAGUUCGGGGCUUAACCCCGUGAUGGGAUGGAAACUGCCAAUCUAGAGUAUCGGAGAGGAAAGUGGAAUUCCUAGUGUAGCGGUGAAAUGCGUAGAUAUUAGGAAGAACACCAGUGGCGAAGGCGACUUUCUGGACGAAAACUGACGCUGAGGCGCGAAAGCCAGGGGAGCGAACGGGAUUAGAUACCCGCGUAGUCCCUGUCUCUUAUACA